GAUGAACGCUGGCGGCGUGCCUAAUACAUGCAAGUCGAGCGAACGGACGAGAAGCUUGCUUCUCUGAUGUUAGCGGCGGACGGGUGAGUAACACGUGGAUAACCUACCUAUAAUACUGGGAUAACUUCGGGAAACCGGAGCUAAUACCGGAUAAUAUUUUGAACCGCAUGGUUCAAAAGUGAAAGACGGUCUUGCUGUCACUUAUAGAUGGAUCCGCGCUGCAUUAGCUAGUUGGUAAGGUAACGGCUUACCAAGGCAACGAUGCAUAGCCGACCUGAGAGGGUGAUCGGCCACACUGGAACUGAGACACGGUCCAGACUCCUACGGGAGGCAGCAGUAGGGAAUCUUCCGCAAAGGGCGCAAGCCUGACGGAGCAACGCCGCGUGAGUGAUGAAGGUCUUCGGAUCGUAAAACUCUGUUAUUAGGGAAGAACAUAUGUGUAAGUAACUGUGCACAUCUUGACGGUACCUAAUCAGAAAGCAACGGCUAACUACGUG
RNAcentral lists this ribosomal RNA (497 nucleotides) under uncultured bacterium. Its description in RNAcentral is "partial 16S ribosomal RNA". It matches the Rfam family "Bacterial small subunit ribosomal RNA", at positions 28 to 507 of the family's 1533-position model. The record is from RNAcentral.